This 724-nucleotide long non-coding RNA is filed under the name Gossypium barbadense (sea-island cotton). Its description in RNAcentral is "long non-coding RNA (GBAR_LNC016391)". The record is from RNAcentral. Lineage: Eukaryota; Viridiplantae; Streptophyta; Magnoliopsida; Malvales; Malvaceae.
GGACCUUUUCUACUGGAGAACAAGCCCUUUCUGAGCAUACGUAUAAGGUGGAAAAUGGGAUAACAACUCACAUAUCCUAGGUUCGGUUAAAUACCCUUGCUAAUUUCCCUAAUUUUGACCCUAGUCUUUCUUCUCCUGUUUCAGAAAAUUUUGACGCAAGGAGUAAGGUCUCUAGGUCACCAGGAAUUUUGGAAAAUAAUAAAGUGUGCUUAAAUCCAGUGUUUGAAGGACCUGAGAGAGUAGAGGUUCAGAUGACUGACGGUAUUCUUGAUCCCAGAAAGCACUCUGCGGUAACUUUUAAAGACAAUUUGCGUUCAAAUCAGAAAGUUAUGGGAGUGGGUGUUGGUACUUCAAGCUCUAAGGAUAAAAAAUAAUAAUUAGAGGUAGAAAAAGCAGUGGACGUGGUUGUUGGAAACCGUCUAUUGCACUACGGGGUCAUGAAAAUCGAUUCAAAUCCUCUGGGAAUACCCGGGUUCCCUUAACAGAGUCUAUGAAGGCGAUGGUGGAGCUCCUUUCGGCCCAGGUUUCUAACGAAGUAGCGUGGAUGCUUCGGAAGUAGCAUCUUCGACUGUGGAAGGGUUUACUGUCGAGAGACAAUAAGAGUAUGGUUUCGUUUUUUCUUUUUAUUAAUUAAUGAAUUUUACAAAUUUUUCUUAGAAUUACCAGAAUUGCUUGUCCAUGAUCAUUUUCUUUUAGUUGGGUUUUAUGUGUUUUUGAAUGGGUG